GCGGCGGACGGGUGAGUAACACGUGGGUAACCUGCCUGUAAGACUGGGAUAACUCCGGGAAACCGGGGCUAAUACCGGAUGGUUGUUUGAACCGCAUGGUUCAGACAUAAAAGGUGGCUUCGGCUACCACUUACAGAUGGACCCGCGGCGCAUUAGCUAGUUGGUGAGGUAACGGCUCACCAAGGCGACGAUGCGUAGCCGACCUGAGAGGGUGAUCGGCCACACUGGGACUGAGACACGGCCCAGACUCCUACGGGAGGCAGCAGUAGGGAAUCUUCCGCAAUGGACGAAAGUCUGACGGAGCAACGCCGCGUGAGUGAUGAAGGUUUUCGGAUCGUAAAGCUCUGUUGUUAGGGAAGAACAAGUGCCGUUCAAAUAGGGCGGCACCUUGACGGUACCUAACCAGAAAGCCACGGCUAACUACGUGCCAGCAGCCGCGGUAAUACGUAGGUGGCAAGCGUUGUCCGGAAUUAU
This 474-nucleotide ribosomal RNA is filed under the name Bacillus velezensis. RNAcentral's name for it is "bacterial SSU rRNA". It matches the Rfam family "Bacterial small subunit ribosomal RNA", at positions 95 to 554 of the family's 1533-position model. Lineage: Bacteria; Bacillati; Bacillota; Bacilli; Caryophanales; Bacillaceae. The record is from RNAcentral.